UUUUUUUUUUUUUAACGAACAGCCAGGGAGGUGACUGUUUAAACGUUUGGCCUGUGAAACAUUAGCUUCCUGCAGAUGAUUAAAAUAUGGCCCGUGUAAACAAAUGAUGACUUAGAUCCUCCUCUGAAGACAGAGGGGCCAUCGACUUUUUUUUUCAGUUUGGUUUUGUUUGGGGCUCUCGAUAAGGAAGGUCUUCAUUCCCAGAGUUACACUGGGGCUUUUCUCUGAUUACCUUUUAAUCAUUCCAUUCCUGCUCCUCAUACCCACACUAGGCAUUGGUCCCAGAUGGCCCCUAACGAGUUACAGAAGUCGAGGCUCAGCAAAACAAAGCACGGAGGUGCCCAGCAAGCUUUGCCCAAGUGAAGGCCUUCCGCCCCUGCUGGAAGCAAUCAUGGAAUCCCCAGUGACUUCAGCAGGAGCUCCAGGCCUUCAGCAUUUGUGUAUGUACAGGUGCUGAGGAGCCGAAGUGCCCUGUACCCCCAAACUU
RNAcentral lists this long non-coding RNA (487 nucleotides) under Phascolarctos cinereus (koala). RNAcentral describes it as "lncRNA (ENSPCIG00000037304.1)". Lineage: Eukaryota; Metazoa; Chordata; Mammalia; Diprotodontia; Phascolarctidae. The record is from RNAcentral.